RNAcentral lists this long non-coding RNA (260 nucleotides) under Cyanistes caeruleus (blue tit). Its description in RNAcentral is "lncRNA (ENSCCEG00000011149.1)". The record is from RNAcentral. Lineage: Eukaryota; Metazoa; Chordata; Aves; Passeriformes; Paridae.
GCUUUAGCCUUAGGUGGGGGAGUUUUCCAUUUCCCUUUCAGCUUAUAUUAAAUUACUUUCCUUUCUUGUCAUAGGCAUAAUCCUUUGAUGGGAAAACCUUGACGGCCUUUCAGAAGAGGAAGAAAGCCCUCCUCUGCAGAGUCACCAGGGACUGGCUAUUACUAAUUGAUUCUACAUGGAGAACACACAGUGGUGACAGCCAUCAGUCUGAAACAAUGCAGGCCUCUGUCCCUUGUGCCCUGGCCUAUAUGGAAGGAUGA